This 262-nucleotide long non-coding RNA is filed under the name Prunus persica (peach). RNAcentral describes it as "long non-coding RNA (PPER_LNC000074)". The record is from RNAcentral. Lineage: Eukaryota; Viridiplantae; Streptophyta; Magnoliopsida; Rosales; Rosaceae.
AAAAGGUAAAGCACGUAUUUGCAUGACAUUCAUGUUUAACCAUAGCAGUUUUUUUUUUUUUUUAGAUGUUCAUGCAUUGCAUUGGAUUCUAUAUACAUAAAACGUGCGGUUUUUAUAUUCAUAUGACUAGUGCACUCCCACUAGUCAUUUGCACUAAUUUGACUUCUUUUUUUCUCGAUUUUACUUUUUGAGGUAAAUAAAGAAAAUAUAUUAUGGAAUUUUAAAUUUUAAAUUUUGAAUUCUUUUCUUGGUAAUAUUCCUA